UAAUUAAAGACAUACUCAGGAACUAAAAUUUUGAGGUUGUCACCUAAACAGACUCUGAUUACAAUUUAAUCAACAUUCUUUGUUCCUCUUUCUGAAAUAAAAGUGUUCUAAAAGUAUACUUUAAAACUAUUUUGGAGUUUGUACAUGAAACCCUGAUCCACGUCAGUAAUCACUCAAAUUCUUAAAUAUUAAGCUUCUGUAUUAUCUGGCAUAUUACCAUAUAAUUUUUUAUCUAAUUUAGGAUAAAAUUUUUAUCCAUUUUUUUGAAAAUCAGGCAAAUAACCCUCCAAAAGAAAGAUCCCUGAUCCAUUUACACUCCCAUCAAGAGUAUAUGG
RNAcentral lists this long non-coding RNA (335 nucleotides) under Bos taurus (domestic cattle). RNAcentral describes it as "long non-coding RNA NONBTAT015113". Lineage: Eukaryota; Metazoa; Chordata; Mammalia; Artiodactyla; Bovidae. The record is from RNAcentral.